Molecule: unclassified non-coding RNA, 620 nt
Filed under: Hevea brasiliensis (rubber tree)
Lineage: Eukaryota; Viridiplantae; Streptophyta; Magnoliopsida; Malpighiales; Euphorbiaceae
Source: RNAcentral
GUAGUGUGGAAGAAUACCAAGAUAAAUUUGAGGAUUCAGGAAUUAGAAAGGAGAAUUUUAUGGCAGGCCUUGGAGAAGCUUAUUUUCUGGUAGGAUUCAUUGGGGUAUUAAGAGAUGAUAUAAGACCUACUAGUAGAAUGUUGAGACCCGUUGCCUUAUACCAAGCUUUUGAAGGUGUUAGGCUGCAAGAAUUAUUAGUAGAAAAUACCAGAAAAUUCGGACCCUUCACCAAAUCCAAUACCUUCAAACUUGUGACUUAUAGACUCGCUUCAAACUACCAAAAUUACAGUAAUUCCUAUAAGACUACUACAACCAAUCAUAGCUUCAUUUACCCACCAAAACCAUCAAAUAUUGACAACCCACAACCCUGGAAACCUCAACCCAAUAAUAAUAUUACCAAUUCUAGGCUACCUUCCACUUCCUAACCUACCACUAGUGAACCCUCAGUCAACCAAAACUUAGUGAAAAUCAAUCCUCCAAACCAACAACAACUUCAUAAAAGAACUUUCAAACCUUGUUAUAGGUGUGGUAAGAAGUACUUUCCUGGUCAUACUUGUAAACCAAAGGUAGCCAUAGCAAUUCAAAUAGAGUAGGAGGAAGAACCAGUUGAGGAGGGAUGU